GAGUCAGCAUGUUUUUGGAAUAGCGCAUGCUGAGGCCAUUGAGGGACUUCUGUGACUCUCCUUCAAUCAGCUCCCUCCUCGGGUAUGUGAGUCCUGUAUUGAAAUUCCCAUUCAGG
Molecule: long non-coding RNA, 116 nt
Filed under: Octodon degus (degu)
Lineage: Eukaryota; Metazoa; Chordata; Mammalia; Rodentia; Octodontidae
Description: FAM13A antisense RNA 1 conserved region 2 (ENSODEG00000022464.1)
Rfam family: FAM13A antisense RNA 1 conserved region 2
Source: RNAcentral